UAGUGGAGUCCAGAUACCAUUAUAAAACGGGGCGUCUUCAGAAAAGCCAAAUGAGUAUGAAAA
RNAcentral lists this non-coding RNA (63 nucleotides) under marine eukaryotic metagenome. RNAcentral describes it as "DUF805 RNA". It matches the Rfam family "DUF805 RNA". The record is from RNAcentral.